Molecule: ribosomal RNA, 428 nt
Filed under: uncultured prokaryote
Description: bacterial SSU rRNA
Rfam family: Bacterial small subunit ribosomal RNA
Source: RNAcentral
UGGGGAAUAUUGCGCAAUGGGCGAAAGCCUGACGCAGCAACGCCGCGUGGGGGAUGAAGGUUCUCGGAUUGUAAACCCCUUUCGAUCGGAACGAAUCCCCUCCUGGUAAAUAAUCAGGAGGAUCGACGGUACCGAGAGAAGAAGCCACGGCUAACUCUGUGCCAGAAGCCGCGGUAAGACAGAGGUGGCGAGCGUUGUGCGGAUUUAUUGGGCGUAAAGCGAACGCAGGCGGUUUGGUAAGUCAGAGGUGAAAGACCACAGCUUAACUGUGGCACUGCCUUUGAUACUGCCUUUCUGGAGUGCAUGAGGGGGAAGCGGAAUUCCGAGUGUAGAGGUGAAAUUCGUAGAUAUUCGGAGGAACACCGGUGGCGAAGGCGGCUUCCUGGCAUGUAACUGACGCUCAUGUUCGAAAGCGUGGGUAGCAAACA